CUCUCCGACCUUGCUGCCCUCCUCCUUUGUCACUGUGGAGAAACAGGAAGGAAUGUUUAUUAGCAAGACUGACUGGGGUCACACCCAAGGCAAUUUCAGAUUUUUACCUCUCCCGGCCCUGGGAAGAAGUUCAAGGAUCAAGGACAAGCU
This 150-nucleotide long non-coding RNA is filed under the name Saimiri boliviensis boliviensis (Bolivian squirrel monkey). RNAcentral describes it as "CDKN2B antisense RNA 1 intronic convserved region (ENSSBOG00000019230.1)". It matches the Rfam family "CDKN2B antisense RNA 1 intronic convserved region". From Rfam's summary of the family: CDKN2B-AS, also known as ANRIL (antisense non-coding RNA in the INK4 locus) is a long non-coding RNA consisting of 19 exons, spanning 126.3kb in the genome, and spliced product is a 3834bp RNA. Lineage: Eukaryota; Metazoa; Chordata; Mammalia; Primates; Cebidae. The record is from RNAcentral.